CGCUGGCGUCAAUGCUCCCUUCCUCGGGCCAUUGGAGACUCCGUUGCUUUUUAAUGGCGGCAGCGGCUGCUGGGUGAGCAGCUGGAGGCCGGACAGUGUUCGUCCCAUCCGGAGAGGAUCGCUUUCUCCUGGCGUCACCAGCGCUGGGUUGGUGGGGGUAGCUUUUCCCUCUUUGCUCCUCCAUUCUUGAAGAAAGAAGAAGAUGCCACUGCCAUUUGGGUUGAAACUGAAACGCACCCGGCGCUACACGGUGUCCAGCAAGAGUUGCCUGGUUGCCCGGAUCCAACUGCUUAAUAACGAGUUUGUGGAGUUCACCCUGUCCGUGGAGAGCACUGGCCAGGAAAGCCUCGAGGCCGUGGCCCAGAGGCUGGAGCUGCGGGAGGUCACUUACUUCAGCCUCUGGUACUACAACAAGCAAAAUCAGCGCCGGUGGGUAGAUUUGGAAAAACCUUUGAAGAAGCAGCUGGAUAAAUAUGCAUUGGAACCUACCGUCUAUUUUGGAGUGGUGUUUUUUGUGCCUUCAGUUUCUCAGCUGCAGCAGGAGAUCACCAGUUUUCAGGAAAGAUGUGAGAACAUGUAAACUUGCCAAAUGACCCCAUGAGCCUACAAUCAGAAAAGUCCAGAAGGCAGGAAAUUCUACAUGACAAAUGGCUCCAUUUCUGUUAAUAACAUGAAAAUAAAAGGUAAUGAAAACUUUCUUUUUUAUAGCAAGAGAGAUUUAGAAACAUCCAUUAAAUGUAAUCUGUAGACCUUGUUUGGAUUCUAAUUUAAGAAAAUUGUAAAAAUGCAUUUUUGAGGCAAUCAUGAAAAUUGCAUAUGAAU
RNAcentral lists this small RNA (822 nucleotides) under Pan troglodytes (chimpanzee). RNAcentral describes it as "processed transcript". The record is from RNAcentral. Lineage: Eukaryota; Metazoa; Chordata; Mammalia; Primates; Hominidae.